This 465-nucleotide ribosomal RNA is filed under the name uncultured bacterium. RNAcentral's name for it is "partial 16S ribosomal RNA". It matches the Rfam family "Bacterial small subunit ribosomal RNA", at positions 29 to 507 of the family's 1533-position model. The record is from RNAcentral.
AAUGAACGUUGGCGGCGUGGAUUAGGCAUGCAAGUCGAGCGAGAACCCCGCAAGGGGGGCCAGCGGCGCAAGGGACAGUAAUGUGUAGAUUAUCUGCCCUCAGGUCCGGGAUAGCUGCGGGAAACUGCAGGUAAUACCGGAUAACAUCUCCGGAUCAAAGGUGUGAUUCCGCCUGAGGAUGAGUCUGCAUCCUAUUAGCUAGUUGGUGGGGUAAUGGCCUACCAAGGCAUUGAUGGGUAGCAGGUGUGAGAGCACGACCUGCGUCAUUGGGACUGAGACACUGCCCAGACACCUACGGGUGGCUGCAGUCGAGAAUCGUCGGCAAUGGGCGCAAGCCUGACCGAGCGACGCCGCGUGUGGGAUGAAGGCCUUCGGGUUGUAAACCACUGUCAGAGGGGAUGAAAUGCAGGUGGGUUCUCCCAUCUGUUUGACAUAGCCUCAGAGGAAGGACGGGCUAAGUUCGUG